Molecule: ribosomal RNA, 513 nt
Filed under: Clonostachys rosea
Lineage: Eukaryota; Fungi; Ascomycota; Sordariomycetes; Hypocreales; Bionectriaceae
Description: eukaryotic LSU rRNA
Rfam family: 5.8S ribosomal RNA (bases 143-296)
Source: RNAcentral
CCCAACCCAUGUGAACAUACCUACUGUUGCUUCGGCGGGAUUGCCCCGGGCGCCUCGUGUGCCCCGGAUCAGGCGCCCGCCUAGGAAACUUAAUUCUUGUUUUAUUUUGGAAUCUUCUGAGUAGUUUUUACAAAUAAAUAAAAACUUUCAACAACGGAUCUCUUGGUUCUGGCAUCGAUGAAGAACGCAGCGAAAUGCGAUAAGUAAUGUGAAUUGCAGAAUUCAGUGAAUCAUCGAAUCUUUGAACGCACAUUGCGCCCGCCAGUAUUCUGGCGGGCAUGCCUGUCUGAGCGUCAUUUCAACCCUCAUGCCCCUAGGGCGUGGUGUUGGGGAUCGGCCAAAGCCCGCGAGGGACGGCCGGCCCCUAAAUCUAGUGGCGGACCCGUCGUGGCCUCCUCUGCGAAGUAGUGAUAUUCCGCAUCGGAGAGCGACGAGCCCCUGCCGUUAAACCCCCAACUUUCCAAGGUUGACCUCAGAUCAGUAGGAAUACCCGCUGAACUUAAGCAUAUCAAA